This 279-nucleotide ribosomal RNA is filed under the name uncultured bacterium. RNAcentral's name for it is "partial 16S ribosomal RNA". It matches the Rfam family "Bacterial small subunit ribosomal RNA", at positions 506 to 784 of the family's 1533-position model. The record is from RNAcentral.
UGCCAGCCGCCGCGGUAAUACGGAGGGGGUUAGCGUUGUUCGGAAUUACUGGGCGUAAAGCGCACGUAGGCGGAUCGGAAAGUUGGGGGUGAAAUCCCAGGGCUCAACCCUGGAACUGCCUCCAAAACUAUCGGUCUAGAGGAUGUGAGAGGUGAGUGGAAUUCCGAGUGUAGAGGUGAAAUUCGUAGAUAUUCGGAAGAACACCAGUGGCGAAGGCGACUCACUGGCACAUUUCUGACGCUGAGGCGCGAAAGCGUGGGGAGCAAACAGGAUUAGAUA